Molecule: long non-coding RNA, 632 nt
Filed under: Trifolium pratense (red clover)
Lineage: Eukaryota; Viridiplantae; Streptophyta; Magnoliopsida; Fabales; Fabaceae
Description: long non-coding RNA (TPRA_LNC010044)
Source: RNAcentral
UAUCAAGAAUAAAGAAAAUUUAUAGAUGUAUAGUUUAAGAAAUGCAUAGAUUUCUCCAUUAUUCAAUACGUUCCAAAUUUCUGGUUUUUUAAUAAACUAGACUCUUACCCGUGCGAUGCACGGAUUUUAUGCGCUAUUUUAUACUAUAAAAUAAUUUGCAAAAACAUUUAUUAAAUUUUAUCUUAUCUAUUUUUUUUACUAACACCAGUAAGUAGCUCUGACAAUCGACCAACUUUUUAUAUACAUAAAAAUUGGACAAAAAAUCAUUAGAAAAAUAUUAACUAUUUUGAAUAAAAUACACAAAAUAAUAAAAUCAACAAAAAAAGUAAAAUAAUAACAACCCAAAAUAAUAAUAAUUAUUAUUAUAAUUAGUACCACACAUUAAAUGCAUGUAAGUGGAUGAUGUGGCUAAAUGAAAGGUUUUCAUUGGUUUGUAGAUUAGGGUUUAGAUAGACAAUUGGACAACUAUCUAGGAUUUAUAUAUAUAGAUUAGUCACCAAAGCCGUAUAAGCCAUUAAUAAAUUAAAUUCCCACACUGUGUGGCAAUGAAAAAAAAAUUAAAAAAUAAAUUCCGAAUGAAGUAGAAUAACUUGAUGAUUUGUUUCAAUCCGAUAUGCAUGUGUGACUAUGUG